UACGUAGGGGGCAAGCGUUGUCCGGAUUUAUUGGGCGUAAAGAGCGUGUAGGCGGCUUGGCAAGUCUGCUGUGAAAACUCGAGGCUCAACCUCGAGCUGUCGGCGGAAACUGCUUGGCUAGAGUCCGGAAGAGGAGAGUGGAAUUCCUGGUGUAGCGGUGAAAUGCGCAGAUAUCAGGAAGAACACCGAUGGCGAAGGCAGCUCUCUGGGACGGUACUGACGCUGAGACGCGAAAGCGUGGGGAGCGAACAGG
RNAcentral lists this ribosomal RNA (253 nucleotides) under uncultured bacterium. RNAcentral describes it as "partial 16S ribosomal RNA". It matches the Rfam family "Bacterial small subunit ribosomal RNA", at positions 524 to 776 of the family's 1533-position model. The record is from RNAcentral.